GACGAACGCUGGCGGCGUGCCUAACACAUGCAAGUCGAACGGAAGCAAAGAUUUCGGUUUUUGCUUUAGUGGCGAACGGGUGAGUAACGCGUGAGGAACCUGCCUUUCAGUGGGGGACAACAGUUGGAAACGACUGCUAAUACCGCAUAAUGCUUUUGAGUGGCAUCACUUAAAAGCCAAAGAUUUAUUGCUGAAAGAUGGCCUCGCGUCUGAUUAGCUGGUUGGCGGGGUAACGGCCCACCAAGGCGACGAUCAGUAGCCGGUCUGAGAGGAUGAACGGCCACAUUGGGACUGAGAUACGGCCCAGACUCCUACGGGAGGCAGCAGUGGGGAAUAUUGGGCAAUGGGGGAAACCCUGACCCAGCAACGCCGCGUGAAGGAAGAAGGCCUUCGGGUUGUAAACUUCUUUUACCAGGGGCGAAAGAAAUGACGGUACCUGGAGAAAAAGCAACGGCUAACUACGUGCCAGCCGCCGCUGUAA
This 481-nucleotide ribosomal RNA is filed under the name uncultured bacterium. Its description in RNAcentral is "partial 16S ribosomal RNA". It matches the Rfam family "Bacterial small subunit ribosomal RNA", at positions 28 to 523 of the family's 1533-position model. The record is from RNAcentral.